Molecule: long non-coding RNA, 653 nt
Organism: Acanthopagrus latus (yellowfin seabream)
Lineage: Eukaryota; Metazoa; Chordata; Actinopteri; Spariformes; Sparidae
Exons: 3
Source: RefSeq, a predicted model, not a curated record
GAUUUGUAUGGAGAGCACUAUGAAGGAACUCGAAGAAGAAGAGACUGGGCCCCGGUGGUUUGGACCCUGUAGAGGUCUAUGAAUCUCUGCCGAAGAAAUGGUGCUGCUGAGACCUGCUUCCCGCCCCGGUUGUGUUCCGAUCCCACACGUCUGCUUCAUGAUGAGCAGGACGACAUCCUCAAGCUUCAUCCGUCAAAAAAAUGACCCGGAGUGGGAGACAACGCGCCCCCUUUUUCCCUCCCCAGCUGUGGGUGACAUGUAAUAAUGAGGCGACCCGUCACUGCCUCCUGCAGCAGCGAGGCAGUGAAAGCAGAGGAUCCUGCUCUCCAGGUGUUACUGCAGGUUGAGCUGCGGGAUAAGGAGGGAUUGAGAGGAGCAUAAUCCCUCGCACAUGGCUACAGCAACUUUGAUCUAGAGAACCAAGCCAGGCAGACAGAUCAUCCUGCAGCAUGUGUGCUAUCAGAGGAUUCUCACACCACACCUGGCCGUUUGCAGCCCAGUCACCAGAACUGGAGUGUUGACACUGUACGUUUUCUUUUCUCCAACCACGGAUUAAAUCUGUGCAUUUCAUACGUGUCAUGUGAACAUUUCUGAAUACCUGUCAAUCAUUCAGACGGGAGGCAGAGACCACUCUCAGGACAUCAAGUUCAAAU